This 91-nucleotide transfer RNA is filed under the name Hyphomonadaceae bacterium. RNAcentral's name for it is "tRNA-Ser". It matches the Rfam family "tRNA". Rfam says of the family: Transfer RNA (tRNA) molecules are approximately 80 nucleotides in length. Their secondary structure includes four short double-helical elements and three loops (D, anti-codon, and T loops). Further hydrogen bonds mediate the characteristic L-shaped molecular structure. tRNAs have two regions of fundamental functional importance: the anti-codon, which is responsible for specific mRNA codon recognition, and the 3' end, to which the tRNAs corresponding amino acid is attached (by aminoacyl-tRNA synthetases). tRNAs cope with the degeneracy of the genetic code in two manners: having more than one tRNA (with a specific anti-codon) for a particular amino acid; and 'wobble' base-pairing, i.e. permitting non-standard base-pairing at the 3rd anti-codon position. Lineage: Bacteria; Pseudomonadati; Pseudomonadota; Alphaproteobacteria; Hyphomonadales; Hyphomonadaceae. The record is from RNAcentral. RNAcentral also lists the same sequence under 2 other names.
AGUGAGGUGGCCGAGUGGUUUAAGGCGCACGCUUGGAAAGCGUGUGUACGUUAAUAGCGUACCGUGGGUUCGAAUCCCAUCCUCACUGCCA